AGAGUUUGAUCAUGGCUCAGGAUGAACGCUAGCGGGAGGCCUAACACAUGCAAGCCGAGCGGUAUAGAAUCUUCGGAUUUUAGAGAGCGGCGUACGGGUGCGGAACACGUGUGCAACCUACCUUUAUCUUGGGGAUAGCCUUUCGAAAGGAAGAUUAAUACCCGAUAAUAUAUAAUAUGGCAUCAUAACAUAUUGAAAGCUCCGGCGGAUAGAGAUGGGCACGCGCAAGAUUAGUUAGUUGGUGAGGUAACGGCUCACCAAGACGAUGAUCUUUAGGGGGCCUGAGAGGGUGAUCCCCCACACUGGUACUGAGACACGGACCAGACUCCUACGGGAGGCAGCAGUGAGGAAUAUUGGACAAUGGGUGCAAGCCUGAUCCAGCCAUCCCGCGUGAAGGACGACUGCCCUAUGGGUUGUAAACUUCUUUUGUAUAGGGAUAAACCUCUCCUCGUGAGGAGAGCUGAAGGUACUAUACGAAUAAGCACCGGCUAACUCCGUG
RNAcentral lists this ribosomal RNA (499 nucleotides) under uncultured bacterium. Its description in RNAcentral is "bacterial SSU rRNA". It matches the Rfam family "Bacterial small subunit ribosomal RNA", at positions 8 to 507 of the family's 1533-position model. The record is from RNAcentral.